CGGACGGGUGAGUAACGCGUGGGUUAACCUGCCUCAUACAGGGGGAUAACAGUUAGAAAUGACUGCUAAUACCGCAUAAGCGCACAAAACCGCAUGGUUUGGUGUGAAAAACUGAGGUGGUAUGAGAUGGACCCGCGUCUGAUUAGCUAGUUGGAGAGGUAACGGCUCACCAAGGCAACGAUCAGUAGCCGACCUGAGAGGGUGACCGGCCACAUUGGGACUGAGACACGGCCCAAACUCCUACGGAAGGCAGCAG
Molecule: ribosomal RNA, 256 nt
Filed under: uncultured bacterium
Lineage: Bacteria
Description: partial 16S ribosomal RNA
Rfam family: Bacterial small subunit ribosomal RNA
Source: RNAcentral